UGAGGGCCCCUCUGCGUGUUCACAGCGGACCUUGAUUUAAUGUCUAUACAAUUAAGGCACGCGGUGAAUGCCAAGAGAGGCGCCUCC
Molecule: microRNA precursor, 87 nt
Organism: Propithecus coquereli (Coquerel's sifaka)
Lineage: Eukaryota; Metazoa; Chordata; Mammalia; Primates; Indriidae
Source: Ensembl